UAUGACCAACAUUGCAAGGAAAUCCUAUGAGGUUAUUGGUGUCUUGGAUCCUCAACAAAUACUUUGUCUGAAACCUGGGGCUUGAAUGGUUGAAGUUGUAUACUUACUGCUUCUGAUGAAAAAGACACAUCACUUUGUCGUUUUGUUGUUUGUUUGUUUUGCUUUUUAAGGCUGCACUCACUAGGUUCCUAGGCUAGGGUCAAAAUGGAGCUACAGCUGCUAACCUAUACCACAGCCACAGCAAUUCAGGAUCUGAGCCGAGUCUGCAGCCUACACCACAGCUCAAGGCAAUGCCAGAUCCCUAACCCACUGAGCGAGGUCAAGGAUUGAACCCACACUCUCAUGGUUCCUAGUCAGAUUCGUUUCCACUGCGCCAUGAUGGGAACUCCAGAAGAGACACAUCACUUUGAUCUAAGCCUCCUCAACCCGCUCCUAACUCCACUGCUCCCUGCCUUUGCCUGGCUUUAGUCAUUAGGGAAUAUGUUUCUUAUUUUUUGACUCUGCUAAGUGAACCUUGGUAUUUCUGUUUCAUAAUGUGUGGUUUAGGGGUUAUUCUAUACAAAUAUUAUAUCAGGAGUAAGACUCCUUUCUCUUUCUUAAGGGAAUAAAAGAAGUAUCUUCAUGUGACUUUUUUUUUAAGGGCCACACCCACAGCACGUGGAAGUUCCCAGGUUAGGGGUUGAAUUGGAGCUACAGCUGCUGGCCUAUGCCACAGCCACAGCAACACCAGAUCUGAGCCAUGUCUGUGACCUACACCACAGUUCACAGCAAUGCAGUAUCCUUAACCCACUGAGUGAAGCCAGGGAUUGAGCCUACAUCCUCAUGGAUCCUAGUAAGGUUCUUAAUCUACUGAGACACAAUUGGAACUCCUUUAUGGGACAUUUUAAUUAUCUUAUUAUUACCAAGAAAACACAUAGUUUCUGGUAUCAGGCUGUACAGGAUCAGAUCCUAGCUCUUUAACUUAAUGAGAUGAAAAAUAGCUUUGCUCUGUGUUAGUGUUUUCAUCCAUAAAAUGGACAUAACAGUGGUAAAUGCCAUUUGGCCUGCAUUGAAAAUUAUGAGACUGACACACUGCCUACUGUGCUAAGGAGGCAGAUAUGCUUUGAUAAAUUAGUACUUCAUGUAGGGGACAAGAACAGUGAAUGAUACAUAAAAAGUGCUCAAUAAACAUUAGCUAUUAUCAUGCAUUAAAAUGUUUUAGAGGGUUUUUUUUUUGUCUCAAUGAAUCAAUGUGACCCAGUGAACACAUGCGUAUAUAUGUUGUUCGAAGGCUGCACUGAUCACAAAAUUACAUUAAAAAUGAAUCUGGGGUUCCUACCUUGGUACAGUGGGUUAAGAAUCUAACUUCAGCAGCUUGUGUUGCCACAGGGGUGUGGUUUCCAUCCCUGGCCAGGCACAGUGGGUUAAAGGAUCCAGCAUUGCCACAGCUGCAGCGUAGAUUCAAUCUCUGCCUGGGAACUUCCUUAUGCCUUGGGUGCAACCAUUAAAAAAAAAAAAAAAAAAAUCUUCCCUUCUCAGGAGCAACCAUGCUUGAGUGUUGAAAGUAGUGUUUGCUGCCACACUUUAGGAUGGUCAUUGAAAAAUUAGAAUGUUUCUACAGGGAACAUGGUAUAGUGUGCUGUGGGACAAUGAACAGCUUUCAGGUCAGGAGUGAAAAAUGUUUGAAAUAGAAGGGUUGAACUGGACAAGAGGGUAGUACUUAGUGGCGGGUAUAAUAAUGCCCUUUGGUGGAACCAGGACCAAUAGAUGGAGACUAGUAUGAAGGAAGGAAAUAUUUAUUUAGUACCUAUGAUGUGUUAAGCAUAUGCUUUCACACGUCAUUUAAUUUUUAUUAAUAUCUCAUAAAAUAAGAACUGUUGGCCUCAUCUUAAUAUAAGGGAAACUGGAGUUAAGGAAUGUCACCUGCUCAGGUCAGUUGGAGAAGCUAGGAUUUCAACGAAGGUUCCUUGGACUGUAAAUUCCAGGUUUUUUCCACUGCGUGCCUUUAUAUAAGUUGGAGCUGUCCAACAAGAGCUAGGCUACCUAGAUGUCUUGACAUGUAUACAAAAUGCUGCUGUGGGUAAUUUCUUCUCCUCUUGAUUCGAGUUCUUAAUACAUGACAAAAAGACAUUUCAAUCUCAAUGUUCUUUUAAGUUUCAUUUCAUCUUCUACAUUGACUUUUGUCUUUUUCAAUUUUGAGGUCUUCAUUUUUUUGGGAAAUCUGUCAAGUUGCCAUUGAGCUUCACUAGGAUGUCUGUAUUAAUUUCACCACAGGGCAAAUUUCAAGAUACAACAGUUCACCAAGGGUUUUGCCUUUUUAGACAUUGACUUCACAGAUGAAAUGAAGCAUUUAAAGAUGGUUUUGGCCACUAAAACAACUGUAUUAUAUUGGUGGAAUCCUCCAGUCUCAUAGCUGUGGAACAGACUAUAAAAUAUGCCCAGAGUGAAACUAGCUUUUCUAAGUAGCCUCUUCUGUAUUUGCUUCCUUGUUAACUGAAGCCACACCUUGCCAGAACACCAGGGGCUAUCCCCUGUGUUUUGACUUCAGAUUUCUCAUUUGUGUGGUGAAGAAGCCAAGUUAAAUAUACUUGAAAAUUCAUCCCCAUAUCAGUGUUUGUCAUCUGAGGAUUAAACCAAAAUGAACUUGUUAUAUGUUUCUCUCCUUCCUUGCUUUCAUUUUUUUUCUUUUGUUCUUUUAUUUAUUUAUUUGGUAAAUGAGACCUUAAAUGCAAAGCUUUAAUUUUAAAAACAUUUCGAAAAGGAUAACCUCCAAGUGUAUAGUUCCUAAUACAAGUUGGCACUCUACAAAGAAAAGAGAUGAUUCUCACUAAGGAAAACAGCAAAAAAGUUACAGAUUGCAUCCACCAUCACUAAUUAGCUGUCCCAGAUGGAGGACUGCCCCACCCCAAAGCAUAAGCUGGAUGGCUUUCUACAGAUAACUGGGACAUAAAUAACUUGCUCCACUCUCUAUAAUAACCGUACCAUAUUGCCUGUCUUGUAAGAGAUGUACAGUUGGCCCAUUUUAGAAGUGGGGCAAAAGACACUUGUUUUGUAAUUAGUUUAAAUAACAAUUUUUAGCUAUAAAAAGAAUAAAUGCUAUUAUAGAAUGUUUAGUAAUAUAAAAGACACAAAUAAGAAAAUAAAUCAUCUGCAGCU
Molecule: long non-coding RNA, 3135 nt
Filed under: Sus scrofa (pig)
Lineage: Eukaryota; Metazoa; Chordata; Mammalia; Artiodactyla; Suidae
Description: lncRNA (ENSSSCG00000061718.1)
Source: RNAcentral